AGACGGCGGGGUAAGGGCCCACCGUGGCGAUGAUGGGUAGCCGGCCUGAGAGGGUGUACGGCCACAUUGGAACUGAGACACGGUCCAGACUCCUACGGGAGGCAGCAGCUAAGAAUCUUCCGCAAUGGGCGAAAGCCUGACGGAGCGACGCCGCGUGAACGAAGAAGGCCGUGAGGUUGUAAAGUUCUUUUCGGGAGGGGGAACGAGCCUGCCAGGCAAUGGGCGGGCGCUGACGUGAAUCCCGGAAUAAGCCCCGGCUAACUACGUGCCAGCAGCCGCGGUAACACGUAGGGGGCGAGCGUUGUUCGGAAUCAUUGGGCGUAAAGGGCGUGCAGGCGGCCGCCAAAGUCCGGCGUGAAAGACCCAGGCUCAACCUGGGGGGUGCGCCGGAUACUGGGCGGCUUGAGUACAGGAGGGGACGGCGGAAUUCCAGGUGUAGGGGUGAAAUCUGUAGAUAUCUGGAGGAACACCGAUGGCGAAGGCAGCCGUCUGGCCAUGUACUGACGCUGAGGCGCGAAGGUGCGGGGAGCAAACAGGUUUAGAUACCCUGGUAGUCCGCACAGUAAACGAUGUGCACCAGGCGGCGGGGGCAAC
Molecule: ribosomal RNA, 594 nt
Filed under: uncultured bacterium
Lineage: Bacteria
Description: bacterial SSU rRNA
Rfam family: Bacterial small subunit ribosomal RNA
Source: RNAcentral